UAGCCCUAAAUCUUGAUGACCCCAAACACAAACAUCCGCCUGAGAACUACGAGCACAAACGCUUAAAACUCUAAGGACUUGGCGGUGCUCUAAACCCACCUAGAGGAGCCUGUUCUAUAAUCGAUAACCCACGAUUCACCCGACCACCUCUUGCCAAAACAGCCUAUAUACCGCCGUCGCCAGCCCACCUCGUGAGAGCACAACAGUGAGCCCAACAGCCCACAGCCCACUAACAAGACAGGUCGAGGUAUAGCCUAUGAGGUGGAAGAAAUGGGCUACAUUUUCUAAAAUAGAAAACCCAACGAAAAGGGGCUUGAAACCUGCCCCAAGAAGGCGGAUUUAGCAGUAAAGUGGGA
RNAcentral lists this ribosomal RNA (356 nucleotides) under Ara macao (Scarlet macaw). RNAcentral's name for it is "partial 12S small subunit ribosomal RNA". It matches the Rfam family "Bacterial small subunit ribosomal RNA", at positions 797 to 1348 of the family's 1533-position model. The record is from RNAcentral. Lineage: Eukaryota; Metazoa; Chordata; Aves; Psittaciformes; Psittacidae.